Acanthosepion pharaonis is the source of this 112-nucleotide non-coding RNA. The record is from the annotation of a GenBank genome assembly. Lineage: Eukaryota; Metazoa; Mollusca; Cephalopoda; Sepiida; Sepiidae.
ACAGCCACAUCAUGUCGAAACACCGGUUCCCAUACGAUAACCGAAGUUAAGCAACAUCGAGUCUGGUCAGUACCUAGAUAGGUGACCGUUUGAGAAUGUCAGGUGCUGUAAG